This 391-nucleotide unclassified non-coding RNA is filed under the name soil metagenome. RNAcentral's name for it is "partial contains 5.8S ribosomal RNA, internal transcribed spacer 2, and large subunit ribosomal RNA". The stretch from base 1 to 122 matches the Rfam family "5.8S ribosomal RNA", at positions 35 to 154 of the family's 154-position model. The record is from RNAcentral.
GAUGAAGAACGCAGCGAAAUGCGAUACUUGGUGUGAAUUGCAGAAUCCCGUGAACCAUCGAGUCUUUGAACGCAAGUUGCGCCCGAAGCCAGUAGGCCGAGGGCACGCCUGCCUGGACGUCACACGCCGUUGCCCCCCCAUCUACUCCUUCGGGAUUGCGGGGGGGCGGAUGAUGGCCUCCCGUGCGCCUAGCCGCGCGGUUGGCAUAAAUACCAAGUCCUCGGCGACGCACGCCACGACAAUCGGUGGUUGCGAAACCUCGGUUGCCCGUCGUGUGCGUUCGUCGCGCAUCGAGGGCUCGAAAAAAUGCUCGGCUCCGGCUGGGCUUUCAACGCGACCCCAGGUCAGGCGGGGUUACCCGCUGAAUUUAAGCAUAUCAAUAAGCGGAGGA